CAUCUAUGAACAUUUUUGUAUUAACAUCUUAAAUCACUUCCAGGCUUCCUAAAAGCUUUCUCCUUCUAGUUGUUUAAAUGUGGCAAUCUUUCUCUUGAGUUG
RNAcentral lists this small nucleolar RNA (102 nucleotides) under Gossypium hirsutum (cotton). Its description in RNAcentral is "Plant small nucleolar RNA R71". It matches the Rfam family "Plant small nucleolar RNA R71". From Rfam's summary of the family: R71 is a member of the C/D box family of snoRNAs containing the C (UGAUGA) and D (CUGA) box motifs. Multiple nearly identical copies of this snoRNA have been identified in Arabidopsis, and it is thought to function as a 2'-O-ribose methylation guide for 18S ribosomal RNA. Lineage: Eukaryota; Viridiplantae; Streptophyta; Magnoliopsida; Malvales; Malvaceae. The record is from Rfam by way of RNAcentral.